AUGGCUCUUAGAGAUAUUCUUGUGAAAUAUGAGACUGCCUCUGGCCAGAAGGUGAAUCUGAAUAAGUCCUCCAUUUUCUUUGGGAAAGGUUGUUCGGAGGAGAAUAAGUCACUAUGGAAACAAACAGUGGGGAUUCAGUCGGAAGCUUUGAGUGAGAAGUAUCUUGGGCUACCAACACAGGUUGGGAGAUCCAAGGAGGGGACUUUCAAAUACCUUACGGAAAGUUCAAAGAAGAAAGUG
This 240-nucleotide ribosomal RNA is filed under the name Triticum aestivum (bread wheat). RNAcentral's name for it is "partial small subunit ribosomal RNA". The record is from RNAcentral. Lineage: Eukaryota; Viridiplantae; Streptophyta; Magnoliopsida; Poales; Poaceae.